RNAcentral lists this non-coding RNA (1066 nucleotides) under Pongo abelii (Sumatran orangutan). Lineage: Eukaryota; Metazoa; Chordata; Mammalia; Primates; Hominidae. The record is from RNAcentral.
GGAAGGUUCUGGAUUGCAGGGAGAAAGACAAUUAAUAAGUGAUUACUAUUUAAAGACCAAAUCCCUGUCAAAACAGCUUGACCAAAAAAAAUGUGGGUUUUUUUUUUGUUGUUGUUGUUGUUGUUUUAACUCACAACUUGCAGUAGUGCUGCCAGCAAAAAUAGUGGGUGGUAAUUCUGCCAGCUAAAAGGGUGCCGAAAUGCAGUUGGGUGAGAAGAACAACUCUGUCCCCUCCUCCAUUCCCUUUCAGCAGUGACUGAGUGGGCUACCUCCCAGGCCUGUUCCUGCAGUGCCCCUUGGUUCUUCAUGAGACUAUUCAGGGUGUUUUUCUGGGCAAGUAACUCCAAAGGCAAGCAUCAGAGCAGCUCAAAGACUUAAGAACAUGUCACACAGGACUGGGAGGAAUGGAAGGUGGCACAUCAGAAUAACAAUAGCUCUUGACAAACGGAUGCACAGCCAUUCCCAUAAACAGGAAUUUCCCUGUAGGAAAACUUCCUCCCCUGGGAUCUUCAAUUUGAUGAAAGCAAUUACAGGACAAAGAGGCUGAUUUCCCCCACAUCUGCUGAGGUGAAGCCAGUGCUAAGGUUUCACUUAUACUGAAGAAAUUCUUGGCUUCCGCCAGAACAGAACACCCUGAAAUAUGAAGCUAAUCUCAUCAGAGGGACAGGCACCUUACCAAGAUGAAAACUCCUUAAGAUUUAUUCGCCCAGCCUUAAAGCUUAGACAACUUAUUAAGAGUUACAACAGUUUUGUCAAAAAAUGACGGCCUUCAGUGCUUCACAGAAGCCAUAAAAAAAACAAAGUUCAGUACCGAUGUGUUUUCAUUAACUGAAAAUAUCAGUGACCAACAAAUACAAAGUUUCAUUAGAAAUCAUCAAGAAAAACCAGGCUUGGGAAGAUAAAUUCCUUGAUGCCCAUGUUUUAAAAAUGAUCCUGUCUGUGGAUUAAACUGCAAGUCAUUUGGGCCAUUGCUCAGCCGAAAAAGCAAAUGUUUCAGAGUAGAAGGCCACUCUCCUCCAGCCUCAAUGAAACCGCAUGCUACCUUCUGGCUACAGACCCAGGUGGC